Molecule: ribosomal RNA, 497 nt
Filed under: uncultured bacterium
Lineage: Bacteria
Description: partial 16S ribosomal RNA
Rfam family: Bacterial small subunit ribosomal RNA
Source: RNAcentral
GAUGAACGCUGGCGGCGUGCCUAAUACAUGCAAGUCGAGCGAACAGAUGAGGAGCUUGCUCCCCUGACGUUAGCGGCGGACGGGUGAGUAACACGUGGAUAACCUACCUAUAAGACUGGGAUAACUACGGGAAACUGGAGCUAAUACCGGAUAAUAUAUUGAACCGCAUGGUUCAAUAGUGAAAGACGGUUUUGAUGUCACUUAUAGAUGGAUCCGCGCCGCAUUAGCUAGUUGGUAAGGUAACGGCUUACCAAGGCAACGAUGCGUAGCCGACCUGAGAGGGUGAUCGGCCACACUGGAACUGAGACACGGCCCAGACUCCUACGGGAGGCAGCAGUAGGGAAUCUUCCGCAAUGGGCGAAAGCCUGACGGAGCAACGCCGCGUGAGUGAUGAAGGUCUUCGGGUCGUAAAACGCUUUUAUUAGGGAAGAACAAAUGUGUAAUUAACUAUGCGCGUCUUGACGGUACCUAAACAGAAAGCCACGGCUAACUACGUG